UAUUAAAAAUUUCAUCUUCUUAUACUAUUAAAAAUUGGUAUGCCUGAUAAAAUAAUAAGACAAUAACAUGUGUUGUGCCACGUGUACCGUAUAUUGACGUAUACAGACCACUUUUUAAACAUAGAAACAAAUAAAAUUUUUAAUA
Gossypium raimondii (Peruvian cotton) is the source of this 145-nucleotide non-coding RNA. The record is from Rfam. NCBI's taxonomy places the organism in Eukaryota, Viridiplantae, Streptophyta, Magnoliopsida, Malvales, Malvaceae.